This is an RNA transcript of Dreissena polymorpha, 3623 nucleotides long. It is a transcript of the gene named zinc finger protein 2-like, with no coding region annotated. The transcript is spliced from 9 exons. NCBI's taxonomy places the organism in Eukaryota, Metazoa, Mollusca, Bivalvia, Myida, Dreissenidae. The record is from RefSeq and is a predicted model, not a curated record.
GAACAUUUACCAUGCUCUAAAAUAUCCAUUACAUGCACCUUUUGACAAUUUUAAAACCUGAAAAUUAUAAAGCGUUAACAUAAUUCAAAAUGAUUUAAUAAUUUGGAGUUUUUAUACGCCCGUCUAUGACGUCCGUCUGUUAAUGUCGUACGCUACGUCAAAUAUCCUUUGACAGAUUUUCUUCAAAUUUUAACACAAUCUUAAUAUUGAUAAACCCUGAUCCCCUUUCGUUUUUGACGGAAUUCUGAAUUGUCGUUUCAGAGUUAUGGGACUUUGUUCGUCAAAAUUUCGUGAUUUCAUUGAAUGUCCUACUGUAGCUCAAAUAUCCUUCGAUGGAUUUUUUUCAAAUUUCAACACAAUCUUAAUAUUGAUAAACCCUGAUCCCCUUUCGUUUUUGACGGAAUUCUGAAUUGUCGUUCCAGAGUUAUGGGACUUUGUUCGUCAAAAUUUCGUGAUUUCAUUGAAUGUCCUACCGUAGCCGUCCGUCCGUCCGUCCGUCUGUUAAUGUCGUACACUACGUCAAAUAUCCUUUGACAGAUUUUCUUCAAAUUUUAACACAAUCUUAAUAUUGAUAAACCCUGAUCCCCUUUCGUUUUUGACGGAAUUCUGAAUUGUCGUUCCAGAGUUAUGGGACUUUGUUCGUCAAAAUUUCGUUAUUUCAUUGAAUGUCCUACUGUAGCUCAAAUAUCCUUCGAUGGAUUUUUUUUUUUUUUUUUUUAGUAUCCCUGAAAAAUUGAACAAGGUGAGCUUUUUUCUAUUCCGAUUGUACACUACCACUUACCCAUCUACAUUUCUCUUUUAUUAUUGGUCAAAAUAUCUAUAACAGGUUUACUUCAACUCCAUAUCCUCUAAAGAAAUGCAUACAUAUACUCAAAAAAAGAUAUGGUAUGAAUGUCAAGGAGACGGCGCUCCAUGCUCAUGUACUUAUAAAAUAAACCAUGUAUUCAAAUACAAAUAAACUGAAGUAAAAAAAUGAUUCAAAGGGUUAUUUAUUACCUUACUACUUCAUUGGCGAACGACGGGCGUAUCAUGCGCUCAUGGCGCAGCUCCUCAGUUUUUUAUAUCAUUAUACUUUGUGGCAUUAGGAGGAUGGCUUAUAUAAUUUAUAAGUAUAAAAAUUGAUAUUUUAGAACAUUGUUAAUGUUCAUUAUCAUCGUCUUCUCCCAAAAGUCAUAACUUCAAAGAAAAUGUGUGAAUCUGAAAAACAUUUUUUAAUUUUGUCAAUUUAUUUACCAAAGCUCAAAAACGUCCCUUUAAUAUGCAUAUUUGGUAACCUAUUAUUGAAUAUUCUGAUUUCCCUAACAUAACAAUUGCACUAGUUAUUAAAUGUAACUUGUAUCAACCCGUAUUUUAUAUAACCAAAUUUAAAGUUUGGUAAAGCAGCAGUUUGUGUUUACAUUGAUAUUUGUCAAUGCAUACCGUCGUCUGGGGAAUUAAAGUGACAUGCAUAUGCUCAAUGAAACCCUAAUUACGCUCCAGAUUGUUUGAUUUAUUUUAUGCUGUCUUUAUAUUAAACCAGACAUGCUUGCAUGGUUAAGUCAUAGGUUAUUUCUAGGUCCUGCUGUUUAAUAAUUACACAACUAUUGCUUAAUUGGUCAUCGUCAGCUUGGUACUGUUUUAAAGUACCUUGGGUACUCCUAAGUAUAGUACAAUUUACAGUGGGUAUGGAAAAUAUAAUAAAACGUACCCAGGGAUACUAAUGCUAAAUUGGUCUUGUCUGCUCAUUUUUUAAAUGAAUUAUGUUCACAUUUAUGUCAAUUUUCUGUAAAAUGGCAUCUAUGCUAUCGAAACUCGUAUUUAAAAAAGCAUGUUGAGGCAUGUUUUAUUUAAAGAGAAUUCUGUUUAGUAAGUCAGUAGGGUGUUUUACAACGUAGAAUUUUGGGCGGGAAUAAAGCAUAUUUUCUGUACCCGGGGUACAUUGUACAGGCUGUCAACUGGUCCUACUUUUUUUAAUUUUCAAUAUUUUUUUCUACUUUUUCUUUAAAAACUCCUAUUAUUCAUAUUUGAUUCAUGUUGGUAGAUGUAAUUUUUAUGUGACUGCAAUCCCUUAUAAUUGUUUUUAAGUGUUUUAGUAUAUUUGAAGCUUGAUUUUGUGCCAUUUCUACACUAUACAUGUAUAAUACUGAGCUUGAUGGGACCUGUAGCUGAGAAUGUGUGCCAUCAGUCCUCUCCACAUCAUUCUGUUGAAAGGUUGAUGCCACACAUCCAGUUCACAAGUCCCCAAUCUGCGCAGUCGCCUGUAACCAGAAGUUGUUGGUAAAAUUGAAUUGCAAUGCAAUGGUGUGUUUUAAGAUGAUGUUCAUCUAGAAAAAAAUAUGGCUGUCAAAGAAUAUUUUAAGAAGCCGUCACGAGGGGACAUUAUCAUGAUCACAUUAGACAGCUUAAGGGUGCAACUUACUUCCGAAUCAUGUUAAAGGAUCUUGAUGAAAAUUGACUGACCAAGACCUACAGCUGUGAUGAGCUUUUGGCAGGAUUAUGACCCCUUUUGUCUACAAAAGUUUGGAAAUGCGAUGGUACUGAUGCUUUUAACACGGACAUAGGGAUUUCUUUAAAACGUUGAACGAAGUCGUGUCAGUCAGCUCCAGCCCUCUGAUGUAAACUCGAUGCCCUCGAUGUUAACUCGUGUCUUUAAGGCUGUGAGCAUCUGAUUGCUGCACCUUUCAACUUCCGAGGCUUGCCAUGUACCAGCAACUUAGAUGUCUACAAAAUACUACUGCUGAAUGAUGGGACUAUUCAAUAGUAUUGGUGAAUAUGGAAUCGACGCGUCUUUGUACUGAGUGUGGCCGACAGUUUCAGUCCAGGAGUGGCCACAGCCGCCAUAUGAGACAGCACAAAGGACAAGCCCCAUACCGAUGUUGCGGGAAGAUGUUUUUUGACAAGGAUAAACUAAAAAUGCACAGAAAUCAUAUUCACGGAGAGGCGGCUCGCGAGGCAUGUUUCCAGUGUGGGAAAUUCUUUGCGACCCGACAACAGGUAACAAAACACAUGGCUGUUGUGCACAACGCAAAUUCCGAAAACUUUACUUGCGACACGUGUGGUGCGAAUUACACGUCGAAGCAGGGUCUCCAGGAUCACACUGCUAGUCAGCACGAGGGUCGUGCAGCGCAUGCCUGCCAUUGCGGUAAAGAAUACCGACACGCCACAAACCUUUACAGGCAUAAAAAAUCAACAAAACACUAAACAUAUAAUGUGUCUAGACAGUACAAGCUAUGUUUCUUCAUUUUAUGUUAAUUAAUGUAAACUGCCUCUACAUUAAUCGAUAUCAUACAUAUUGUUUAAUGUUAUUGAAAACCGUGAUUUAUAGUUGAUCUCGUAUAUAUUGAUUUAUGUGAUUUAAAGCUGUGAUUUAAAGUUAAUCUCAUUUAUAUAUUGAUUUAUGUGAUUUGAAACUGUGAUUUACUGUUAUAUUGUGCAAUUGACAACCAAUAAUACUCAAAUAUUGUUUGGGGUCGUAUUACAAAAACAUUUACAAUAAUAUGUCGGAUGUUUAAAAAACUUAUUGUCAGUUUGUUAUUGAGAAUUAUAUUAUGUUACAUGUUUCUGAAAUACUACCCGUUUUAUAUCAUGUUAUUUGAAAUAUAUGAUAAUAUGUUGUGAUUAAAGAAACGAAUUGAAAUAAUAAA